UUCCUCUGAGAUGGCUAUUAUUUUCUGAUUGUGACUAAAUAAAAAAUUGCUGCUUCUAUUUUGUGAAAAUAAGAAUGUACACAAAAAUUGAGGUGUUGAAAGAUCAUUUCUUAGGAUCUCCAAGUUAUGUUAUCUUAAGGCAAAAGCCAGAAUAAGUAAGAAAAUUCAUAGAACAUAACUUUUAAUUUUCUGUAAAACAUGGAGAAAAUCAAUCCCCCAAGUAAACAGGAUUUAGAGGCAUGAGGAAGAAAAAGUGUGGAUCAGCUGUUCAAGAAAUUGAGAUUAGUAACAGUCACAGAUGUAUGAAUUAUGGUAAUUAGAAAGGAUGAAUUUUCUUGAUGUGGAAUGAGAAGUGAUGAGAAGACAAACUUAAUCAUGUGUUUGGGAAACCUGUAGGCAGUAGUAAUUGCCAGCAUUUAUUGAACGUGCAAUCGACAUGAAGCCCUGUACUAAGGGCUUAACGUAUAUCACCUAACCUAUUCUUCAUAAUAAAACAUUGCAGAGGUAUCAAGAUGAUAUAAGAAUUUUAGCAGAGUUCAGUUACAUGCAAUUUGUCAUUGGAAUAGCUUGGACUCGAACAGCUCUGUUCAUCAUCAUAACAACAGCAUCUCCUGUUUAGCUCUCUGGUGUGAUACACCAAAAACAAAAAAUAAGGCAUGAGAAAUGGAAGUGCCUGUAUAUGAAAUUGAAAUGGUGAAAAAGAAGUUGAGUGGAAGGGUAUGGACUGAAAAAAUGACUCAUGGAUUAGUUGUCAGUAUGAAUCAGUCCACAAAUACAUUUUGGGCACCAAUGAUUCAUGACUCAGAUUAAGAUUUUGAAGGAUUUUGGAGUCACAAAGCAUCCUUAAAAAACAAUGUGUAGGAACAAGGUCAUAAAAGUGACAGAUGAAGCAAGGCAUUGCCC
This 903-nucleotide long non-coding RNA is filed under the name Marmota monax (woodchuck). The record is from RNAcentral. Lineage: Eukaryota; Metazoa; Chordata; Mammalia; Rodentia; Sciuridae.